GACGAACGCUGGCGGCGUGCUUAACACAUGCAAGUCGAACGGAAAGGCCCUGCUUUUGUGGGGUGCUCGAGUGGCGAACGGGUGAGUAACACGUGAGUAACCUGCCCUUGACUUUGGGAUAACUUCAGGAAACUGGGGCUAAUACCGGAUAGGAGCUCCUGCUGCAUGGUGGGGGUUGGAAAGUUUCGGCGGUUGGGGAUGGACUCGCGGCUUAUCAGCUUGUUGGUGGGGUAGUGGCUUACCAAGGCUUUGACGGGUAGCCGGCCUGAGAGGGUGACCGGCCACAUUGGGACUGAGAUACGGCCCAGACUCCUACGGGAGGCAGCAGUGGGGAAUAUUGCACAAUGGGCGGAAGCCUGAUGCAGCAACGCCGCGUGCGGGAUGACGGCCUUCGGGUUGUAACCGCUUUCGCCUGUGACGAAGCGUGAGUGACGGUAAUGGGUAAAGAAGCACCAGCUAACUACGUG
RNAcentral lists this ribosomal RNA (467 nucleotides) under uncultured bacterium. RNAcentral describes it as "partial 16S ribosomal RNA". It matches the Rfam family "Bacterial small subunit ribosomal RNA", at positions 28 to 507 of the family's 1533-position model. The record is from RNAcentral.